UGCUGACAUAAGUAACGAUAAAGCGGGUGAAAAGCCCGCUCGCCGGAAGACCAAGGGUUCCUGUCCAACGUUAAUCGGGGCAGGGUGAGUCGACCCCUAAGGCGAGGCCGAAAGGCGUAGUCGAUGGGAAACAGGUUAAUAUUCCUGUACUUGGUGUUACUGCGAAGGGGGGACGGAGAAGGCUAUGUUGGCCGGGCGACGGUUGUCCCGGUUUAAGCGUGUAGGCUGGUUUUCCAGGCAAAUCCGGAAAAUCAAGGCUGAGGCGUGAUGACGAGGCACUACGGUGCUGAAGCGACAAAUGCCCUGCUUCCAGGAAAAGCCUCUAAGCAUCAGGUAACAUCAAAUCGUACCCCAAACCGACACAGGUGGUCAGGUAGAGAAUACCAAGGCGCUUGAGAGAACUCGGGUGAAGGAACUAGGCAAAAUGGUGCCGUAACUUCGGGAGAAGGCACGCUGAUAUGUAGGUGAAGCGACUUGCUCGUGGAGCUGAAAUCAGUCGAAGAUACCAGCUGGCUGCAACUGUUUAUUAAAAACACAGCACUGUGCAAACACGAAAGUGGACGUAUACGGUGUGACGCCUGCCCGGUGCCGGAAGGUUAAUUGAUGGGGUUAGCGGUAACGCGAAGCUCUUGAUCGAAGCCCCGGUAAACGGCGGCCGUAACUAUAACGGUCCUAAGGUAGCGAAAUUCCUUGUCGGGUAAGUUCCGACCUGCACGAAUGGCGUAAUGAUGGCCAGGCUGUCUCCACCCGAGACUCAGUGAAAUUGAACUCGCUGUGAAGAUGCAGUGUACCCGCGGCAAGACGGAAAGACCCCGUGAACCUUUACUAUAGCUUGACACUGAACAUUGAGCCUUGAUGUGUAGGAUAGGUGGGAGGCUUUGAAGUGUGGACGCCAGUCUGCAUGGAGCCGACCUUGAAAUACCACCCUUUAAUGUUUGAUGUUCUAACGUGGGCCCCUUACCGGGGUUGCGGACAGUGUCUGGUGGGUAGUUUGACUGGGGCGGUCUCCUCCUAAAGAGUAACGGAGGAGCACGAAGGUUGGCUAAUCCUGGUCGGACAUCAGGAGGUUAGUGCAAUGGCAUAAGCCAGCUUGACUGCGAGCGUGACGGCGCGAGCAGGUGCGAAAGCAGGUCAUAGUGAUCCGGUGGUUCUGAAUGGAAGGGCCAUCGCUCAACGGAUAAAAGGUACUCCGGGGAUAACAGGCUGAUACCGCCCAAGAGUUCAUAUCGACGGCGGUGUUUGGCACCUCGAUGUCGGCUCAUCACAUCCUGGGGCUGAAGUAGGUCCCAAGGGUAUGGCUGUUCGCCAUUUAAAGUGGUACGCGAGCUGGGUUUAGAACGUCGUGAGACAGUUCGGUCCCUAUCUGCCGUGGGCGCUGGAGAACUGAGGGGGGCUGCUCCUAGUACGAGAGGACCGGAGUGGACGCAUCACUGGUGUUCGGGUUGUCAUGCCAAUGGCACUGCCCGGUAGCUAAAUGCGGAAGAGAUAAGUGCUGAAAGCAUCUAAGCACGAAACUUGCCCCGAGAUGAGUUCUCCCUGACUCCUUGAGAGUCCUGAAGGAACGUUGAAGACGACGACGUUGAUAGGCCGGGUGUGUAAGCGCAGCGAUGCGUUGAGCUAACCGGUACUAAUGAACCGUGAGGCUUAACCUUACAACGCCGAAG
This 1664-nucleotide ribosomal RNA is filed under the name Escherichia coli. RNAcentral describes it as "partial 23S ribosomal RNA". It matches the Rfam family "Bacterial large subunit ribosomal RNA", at positions 1295 to 2925 of the family's 2925-position model. The record is from RNAcentral. Lineage: Bacteria; Pseudomonadati; Pseudomonadota; Gammaproteobacteria; Enterobacterales; Enterobacteriaceae.